GGUUUAAUGAAAACACACCGUAUAGCAUAUGGCAAAAAAUUAAUAACAAUCACUAAAGUUUAUUGUGCAAAAUUGUUUUUCAUAAUUUUUGGUUAUGAAAUAAAUGUCAAGUAAAAGAUGGCAAGCCUAUAAAGGGAGGCUAAAUAAACUAGCUGUAGAAACAGAAAAGCAGUAGCCAUUUUAAGGGGAGAACAGGAGAAAAAUACAAAACACGAACUUGUUUUUCUUCUGCUUCUAAAUGCAAUUCAAGUACUACAAUCAAUCAUAUUUCUCAAUGAGAGUACCCAGGAAACCAAUUGCUAGAGGCUUUCCAUGGAAAUAGAAAUGUCUGCAUUGGGAACAACCUUCAAAUCAUUAAUCUUUUACCGACGUCCGUAAUAUCUUCACGUCAUGGAUAGGCCUGUAUUAAUAGAACAAAUAUAAUGCAGUGGUUUGAUUCAGCAUUGAAUAGAAUUUUAAAGAGAGUGAAGAAUCCACCGCCCUCAAUAAAUGAAUGAGGAUAACAACAUGCAAGUAGAAGUGGGAAGUGAGAAAAAAAAAUCUUCUAUUCAAACUUUAUAUAUCUUGAUACCAAAACCUAGAAAUUUAGUUACAUAAAUUGUUCUUCAAAGACUGCCUUUUAAGAAAGGUAUAUUUCAUUAUUAAUCUUCUACUUUUCUUCUCUUCCAGUUAUUGAUAUAGAACAUUUUGCAAUUUACUCAAGGCCCGUCAGUACUGUUUCAAAGUCCUCAACGAUUCAGAACAUACAAAAGAAAGACUUACCUAUCAUUAUUGUCAGUUUGAACGCUACCAAGUCUUUUGAUUACUUCCAUUCCCCUACAUACUCUACCAAAAAUGGUAUGUUUUCCAUCUAGAGAUGGAGUUGGUGCCAAAGUAAUAAAGAACUGGCUUCCAUUGGUAUUUGGACCUGCAUUUGCCAUGGAUAUGAUCCCAGCUCCAGUGUGCUUCAACUCGGGCCUUAUCUCAUCCUCAAACUUUGGACCAUAAAUGGAUUCUCCACCUCUUCCAGUUCCCGUCGGAUCCCCACCUUGCACUAUAAAAUCCUUAAUAAUUCUGUGAAAUUUCACGUUAUUGUAAUAACUUCUGCGAGAUAGUUCGAGGAAGUUUCUGCAAGUUUUUGGAGCAUGCUUGUAAUAAAGCUCGACAGUGAAAGAGCCCAUGGAAGUUUCUAGAGUGACCUCUGGAGCGCCUCCUUCUGAACUUGCCCACAUCUUUAACACCCACCAGCAAAACAAUCGCCACUUCCAGUCUUCCACAGUCACACUAUCUUCGGCGAUUUUAGGUUUAGCGCUAUAAAUGGGCAUGGCGAUUCGGGUCGGUUUCUUUCAUGAAUUGGGCUAUCGGGCUCCAUUAGCCCAAGCCAAUUAUGAACCGACCCGGCCCAUCAAUUUUCUCUCCUUUCUCAGCUGCCAUAGCCAUUUUCUGGAAACUCCGAAGUUUCUGAGGAAACAGAGAGAGAAAAAUGAGACCAGUCAAACUUCCCGGGCGGCCGAGCGGUUGGGUCUCUGGCGUGAUCAGACGGGCAGUGAUAAUCGGCAAUGGAUUCUCCGGGGCCGAGAGUCAGUGCCUUGGCUUGGUUCGCGCUCUCGGCCUCUCCUCCCGCUUUUCCCUAUACCGGGCUACUAGGCCAAGUGGAGGUAUCAACAAGUGGCUCCAUUGGCUCCCAGGUUCUAUCCACAGAAGAGUGGACUCUCUAAUAAGGAGUAUCCAUGACGAUUAUUGGAGAUAUGGAGGAAAUGCUAAUGACCAAAUGGGGAUGCCUUCUUCAACUGAAAGAACUGGUAUUUUAUGGGAAAAUUAUAACACUUUCUCUGAUUUAGAAUUGAAGAGGUUUGAUAAUCUAAAUGGUAACGUGGUUGGGCUUGCUGAUGCGAAGCAGAUUGCGACAUUGGCUCGUGAUACAUUUAACAAGUAUUUCUUUUGGGGCUUUAAAAUUUUUGCUUCUUUGACAAGUGCUGCUAUUUCUUUUAGGCUUAGGAAUUUUGCUUGUUCAUGAUCAGUGAUUAGUUUAUGAUGUGUUUAAUGAUACUGAUUAAUGUGUUAAGCUGUAUGAAUGUAAUUUGUUCAUAAAGUUGUGGUUUUUCAUUCUAGGGAUGGUCCAUUAUUGGUGGUAGCAUCUGGUCGUGAUACCAUUUCAGUAUCAAGUUCUAUAAGACGAUUAGCUCCAGAUUAUGUUUUUUUUGUUCAGAUACAACAUCCAAGAUCGCGUUUGAAUAGGUUUGAUUUGGUGAUUACUCCUCAUCAUGAUUAUUAUCCAUUGACUCCUCAUGCUCAGGAGCAAGUCCCCUGGUUCCUUCGGAGGUGGAUAACUCCACGUGAACCUCCUGAUAGGCGCGUGGUAUGCGUUUGGGUUGCUAAAUACUUGCUUAAAUGGCUCAGAGGUCUAAGUCAGGAAUAAUUUGGAUAGCCAUUAAACUUUAGCUUCUCUUUCUAGUUAAAUCAUCACUGUGAUAGUGGUAUCUAAAGCUCAUAGUUUUGCUAUUUUGAAUCCCAGGUUCUAACUGUGGGAGCUCUUCCCCAGGCUGAUUCUGCUGCAUUGAGAAGUGCAGCUUCUGUUUGGCAUGAUGAGCUGGCACUGCUUCCAAAGCCCUUGCUUGUUAUCAAUAUUGGAGGGCCUACCGGUAAUAUGCUGUGUAUCUAUGUAUGUAUUUAAUUGCUGUGUUCUCAUUUUUUCAGGAACUUUUUGUUGAAAUUUCAUUGUUUUAUUGUUGAUUAACAUCUGAGUAGUGUAUAUUCAAAAGUCCUGGUAGUAUUACAAUAAUUGGAGUAUUGGGGGCUGUAACAUGUGAAAGAUGGCCUUUGCAUCUUUUAGAAUAGCUGUAGAUGCAUUAUUCUGAGAAUAUUCUCAAUUAUACAUUUCUUACCACCUCUUAUUAGAUAGCCUUUGAUAUUCUGGAAGUUGUAUAUAACUGGAAGUUGUAUAUAAGCAGUCCAUGGAAUUCCAGAUGUUAUUUAUCUUGUAAUUUAUGAGUUGGGGGAAAGAUUUUUGCAUAUAUAUAUUUUUUUCAAACUUGUAGGUAACUCCUUGCAUUCUAAUUAUUGUAAAUAUGCAGUAAUGGCUGAUUUAGGUGACUCUUCUAUGAGGCCACAGAUAUCAAAAUGCUUAAAGCAGUUGGGCCUGAUGAUGAUUCCUAAACCAAUUUUUAAGCUCCCUGGGCCACCAUGUACUCAUGCAAAAGCAGGGGAAAUCCUGGUUUGUGUCAUUGAGUGAGAUGUAGGUGUUUGAUAAUUGGGUUGGUUUGUGUUGGUAGGCGGGCAAUAUGUUUCAAUCAAAACAAGGGAGUUUGGUUGUACAGAAAGAGAAUGUCAAAGCGCAUGGAGAAAUGUUUGGAUUGUUUUGUUGGUUAAAGGGUUUAUUUAUUCAUUAUUGCUUGAAUUUUUUUCUCAUCUAUCAAACAUUAAAAUCUUUUGCAAAUAAAAAUUUCAUGGGCAUUAGAUCACUGUUACACUGUGUGGUACAUAACAUGAGCCUUGUGAUAUUAACGUAAAUUUGAUGAUCUUGAUUUCACAUAAAUAAUUUAUUACUUGCAAGUGAACUGCAUUUUCUUCACCAUGUAAUAGUCCAAUUCAUCCUUUUACUGUAAUCCAUAUCUUACAGCUUAUUUUUCUUAAUAGGCAACUGUGAGUAUGGAAUAGAUCUUGCAGAACAGUUAAAGGAUAAGCUGCAGAAAGUUCUAUGGAGUUGUGGAAGUGUUAGAAUAUCUUUUUCUCGAAGAACACCUGAGAAGGUGUGCAUGCUCUAAAGCAAUUUCUAUUGUCAGUUCUUUUGAUUUGUACUCAUUAUUUGUUGGCUCUGUUAUUGGUAGGUGUCUAAUAUUUUAGUGAAAGAAUUCAGUAAUAACCCUAAGGUCUACAUUUGGGAUGGUAAAGGUCCAAAUCCACAUAUGGGGCAUCUAGCUUGGGCUGAUGCUUUUGUCAUCACAGCAGAUUCUGUGAGUAUGUUGAGUGAGGCUUGUAGCACUGGGAUCCCUGUCUAUGUUAUAGGAGCUGAACGGUGCACGUGGAAGUUUGCUGACUUUCAAAAGAGAUUACAUGAUCGUGGAGUGGUUAGACCAUUCACUGGCGAAGAGGAUAUAUCCAAGGUCUGGAGCUAUCCUCCAUUAAAUGACACUGCAGAGGCCGCUUCGCAGGUAAUUAACGCACUUGCGGAGCGUGGAUGGACAGUACAAGCAGUCGAGGAUGAUGUGUUUUUCAAACUUUAGCAUGACCAACUUUAAACAAUGCACCAAUUUGAUACAUCCCUGGCCCCUUGCUCAGAUCAGAUUUUAACAGGCAAAAGCAGUUAAAUUUAAACUGACACGUUCAACUUCUGAAACGUUGUAAAAUCAAUUAUCAACUGAUCUCAUGAUUAUACCAGUUUUGUAGUUGAUAGAACAUGGGGUUUCAAUUUACUGAAGAGUAGCAUGUAACAGUAUCAUAUAUAGAUGCUUUCAAUUACUAUAUUUAGCUCUGUCCUCAAUUUUGG
Molecule: unclassified non-coding RNA, 4465 nt
Filed under: Hevea brasiliensis (rubber tree)
Lineage: Eukaryota; Viridiplantae; Streptophyta; Magnoliopsida; Malpighiales; Euphorbiaceae
Source: RNAcentral